RNAcentral lists this ribosomal RNA (645 nucleotides) under Triticum aestivum (bread wheat). RNAcentral describes it as "partial small subunit ribosomal RNA". Lineage: Eukaryota; Viridiplantae; Streptophyta; Magnoliopsida; Poales; Poaceae. The record is from RNAcentral.
AUGAGCUUGCACAAACAUAUAUUUGACAUUUGGGUACCAAAACAGCACAUGAGCUUGGGCACACAUAAAUUUGAGUUUCAAAAAGCAAAAACAGCACAUACACAAGCUUGCACAAAUAUAUAUUUUGCACGUACAUACCUGCGAAGAUGUAGCCUCCCUCUCAUAGUAGUUUGCAGAGCCGGAGGCAACGGCGAUUCCGGCACGCACGCCAGCGCCGGUGGGGUUAGGGAGACGUCAAGGCGGAGGUUUCUUUUUUACCCUAUACAACAACUCAGCGAUUGGGACAUUGCUGGAAUCAUUUGUCAGCUUCCUCGGCAGCCGUGUAGUAGCUGCUGCAUUGCCCUUCCCAUUCCCCUUCUGCAUCCCCGAGCUCGGCAACUUUCUCUUCAUAAUGGAGUCCAACGUCCUCUCUUUCUCCUUCUCCUUCCCACUCGCCUUCCCCUUUUGCUUGUCCAUUGUUGCGACGAUAGGCGUCUGCUCCGGCUCGUCACGUUCCGCGAGAAACCAGGGGAGGCGCGUCCGACUAUGUCCGGUGUGGCGAGGAACGGUCGCGCCGCCCGUCGCCGUCGGUGCCGAGUUGGCGAGGAAGCGCGGCGUCGCUCGUCGCCGUCGAUCCAGAUUUGCAGCGUGGCGAGAGAGAGGUGA